CCGACCUUAGCUCAGUUGGUAGAGCGGGAGACUGUAGUGUGAAAACAGAAAUCUCUAGGUCGCUGGUUCGAAUCCGGCAGGUCGGA
This 86-nucleotide transfer RNA is filed under the name Marchantia polymorpha subsp. ruderalis. It matches the Rfam family "tRNA". Rfam says of the family: Transfer RNA (tRNA) molecules are approximately 80 nucleotides in length. Their secondary structure includes four short double-helical elements and three loops (D, anti-codon, and T loops). The record is from Rfam by way of RNAcentral. Lineage: Eukaryota; Viridiplantae; Streptophyta; Marchantiopsida; Marchantiales; Marchantiaceae.